CCUACGGGAGGCAGCAGUGUGGGAUAUUGCACAAUGGGGGAAACCCUGAUGCAGCGACGCCGCGUGGGUGAAGAAGCGCCUCGGCGCGUAAAGCCCUGUCAGCAGGGAAGAAAAUGACGGUAACUGAAGAAGAAGCCCCGGCUAACUACGUGCCAGCAGCCGCGGUAAUACGUAGGGGGCAAGCGUUAUCCGGAUUUACUGGGGGUAAAGGGGGCGCAGACGGCGAUGCAAGCCAGGAGUGAAAGCCCGGGGCCCAACCCCGGGACUGCUCUUGGAACUGGGUGGCUAGAGUGCAGGAGGGGAAGGUGGAAUUCCUGGUGUAGCGGUGAAAUGCGUAGAUAUCAGGAGGAACACCGGUGGCGAAGGCGGCCUGCUGGACUGCAACUGACGUUGAGGCCCGAAAGCGUGGGGAGCAAACAGGAUUAGAUACCCUUGUAGUC
Molecule: ribosomal RNA, 440 nt
Filed under: uncultured bacterium
Lineage: Bacteria
Description: partial 16S ribosomal RNA
Rfam family: Bacterial small subunit ribosomal RNA
Source: RNAcentral